RNAcentral lists this ribosomal RNA (274 nucleotides) under uncultured bacterium. Its description in RNAcentral is "partial 16S ribosomal RNA". It matches the Rfam family "Bacterial small subunit ribosomal RNA", at positions 523 to 796 of the family's 1533-position model. The record is from RNAcentral.
CUACGGAGGGUGCGAGCGUUAUCCGGAUUUAUUAGGUUUAAAGGGUGUGUAGGCGGGAGCCUAAGUCAGUGGUGAAAUCUCACAGCUUAACUGUGAAACUGCCAUUGAAACUGGGUUUCUUGAGUAUAGUUGAGGUAGGCGGAAUGUGUAAUGUAGCGGUGAAAUGCAUAGAUAUUACACAGAACACCGAUUGCGAAGGCAGCUUACUAAGCUAUUACUGACGCUGAUGCACGAAAGCGUGGGUAGCGAACAGGAUUAGAUACCCGAGUAGUCC